RNAcentral lists this ribosomal RNA (1020 nucleotides) under uncultured bacterium. RNAcentral describes it as "bacterial SSU rRNA". It matches the Rfam family "Bacterial small subunit ribosomal RNA", at positions 355 to 1375 of the family's 1533-position model. The record is from RNAcentral.
UUAGGAAUAUUCGUCAAUGGGGGAAACCCUGAACGAGCAAUGCCGCGUGAACGAUGAAGGCCCUAUGGGUUGUAAAGUUCUGUUGCAUGGGACGAACGGCUAGGAUAGGAAAUGAUCUUAGUGUGACGGUACCAUGCCAGAAAGCUCCGGCUAACUACGUGCCAGCAGCCGCGGUAAUACGUAUGGAGCAAGCGUUAUCCGGAUUUACUGGGUGUAAAGGGAGUGUAGGUGGCCAUGCAAGUCAGAAGUGAAAAUCCGGGGCUCAACCCCGGAACUGCUUUUGAAACUGUAAGGCUAGAGUGCAGGAGGGGUGAGUGGAAUUCCUAGUGUAGCGGUGAAAUGCGUAGAUAUUAGGAGGAACACCAGUGGCGAAGGCGGCCUGCUGGGCUUUAACUGACGCUGAGGCUCGAAAGCGUGGGUAGCAAACAGGAUUAGAUACCCUGGUAGUCCACGCUGUAAACGAUGAUUACUAGGUGUGGGGGAUUUCGGUCCUCCGUGCCGGAGCAAACGCAAUAAGUAAUCCACCUGGGGAGUACGGCCGCAAGGCUGAAACUCAAAGGAAUUGACGGGGGCCCGCACAAGCAGUGGAUUAUGUGGUUUAAUUCGAAGCAACGCGAAGAACCUUACCAGGUCUUGACAUCGAGUGACGUAUCCAGAGAUGGAUAUUUCCUUCGGGACACAAAGACAGGUGGUGCAUGGUUGUCGUCAGCUCGUGUCGUGAGAUGUUGGGUUAAGUCCCGCAACGAGCGCAACCCUUAUCAUUAGUUGCUACGCAAGAGCACUCUAAUGAGACUGCCGUUGACAAAACGGAGGAAGGUGGGGAUGACGUCAAAUCAUCAUGCCCCUUAUGACCUGGGCUACACACGUACUACAAUGGCGAUCAAACAGAGGGAAGCAAGACAGCGAUGUGGAGCCAAUCCCAAAAAAUCGCCCCAGUUCAGAUUGCAGGCUGCAACUCGCCUGCAUGAAGUCGGAAUUGCUAGUAAUCGCAGAUCAGCAUGCUGCGGUGAAUACGUUCCC